Molecule: long non-coding RNA, 306 nt
Filed under: Eutrema salsugineum
Lineage: Eukaryota; Viridiplantae; Streptophyta; Magnoliopsida; Brassicales; Brassicaceae
Description: long non-coding RNA (ESAL_LNC000952)
Source: RNAcentral
UCGAAUAAUGCAUGACGAACUUCAAAAAAAAAAAGAAUAAUCAUGGAUCAUGGAUGAUGCAAUAAUUCAGAUUCUGAAAUUCGUGAACCAUGUAAGAAAGCUGAUUUAGAAAAAAAACCCAAUAUAUGAUUAUCUGUAUCACCAAAUUGCUGUUAUAUUUUAGAAAAAAAAAAAUUCCUCAAAAAUUCAUAGGUGAUAUGGAUUCUGAGAGUUGAUGUUGUAAAAAGUUGAGAUGAAGCGCGAAAUGGAACAAAACAUCAUAACAUUGCAUCAUACUGGAGUAGUUGCAGGAAGAAGCAAAAGCAG